AUUGAACGCUGGCGGCAGGCUUAACACAUGCAAGUCGAGCGGGGUGAUGGUGCUUGCACUAUCACUUAGCGGCGGACGGGUGAGUAAUGCCUAGGAAUCUGCCAUUUAGUGGGGGACAACAUUCCGAAAGGAAUGCUAAUACAGCAUACGUCCUACGGGAGAAAGCAGGGGAUCUUCGGACCUUGCGCUAAAUGAUGAGCCUAAGUCGGAUUAGCUAGUUGGUGGGGUAAAGGCCUACCAAGGCGACGAUCUGUAGCGGGUCUGAGAGGAUGAUCCGCCACACUGGGACUGAGACACGGCCCAGACUCCUACGGGAGGCAGCAGUGGGGAAUAUUGGACAAUGGGCGGAAGCCUGAUCCAGCCAUGCCGCGUGUGUGAAGAAGGCCUUUUGGUUGUAAAGCACUUUAAGCGAGGAGGAGGCUACUAGUACUAAUACUACUGGAUAGUGGACGUUACUCGCAGAAUAAGCACCGGCUAACUCUGUGCCAGCAGCCGCCGUAA
RNAcentral lists this ribosomal RNA (501 nucleotides) under uncultured bacterium. RNAcentral's name for it is "partial 16S ribosomal RNA". It matches the Rfam family "Bacterial small subunit ribosomal RNA", at positions 30 to 523 of the family's 1533-position model. The record is from RNAcentral.